This 396-nucleotide ribosomal RNA is filed under the name uncultured bacterium. RNAcentral describes it as "partial 16S ribosomal RNA". It matches the Rfam family "Bacterial small subunit ribosomal RNA", at positions 523 to 918 of the family's 1533-position model. The record is from RNAcentral.
AUACGUAGGGCGCAAGCGUUAUCCGGAUUUACUGGGUGUAAAGGGCGUGUAGGCGGGAGUGCAAGUCAGAUGUGAAAACUAUGGGCUCAACCCAUAGCCUGCAUUUGAAACUGUACUUCUUGAGUACUGGAGAGGCAGGCGGAAUUCCCGGUGGAGCGGGGAAAUGCGUAGAUAUACGGAGGAACACCAGUGGCGAAGGCGGCCUGCUGGACAGCAACUGACGCUAAGGCGCGAAAGCGUGGGGAGCAAACAGGAUUAGAUACCCUGGUAGUCCACGCUGUAAACGAUCGAUACUAGGUGUGGGGGGACUGACCCCCUCCGUGCCGCAGCUAACGCAAUAAGUAUCGCACCUGGGGAGUACGAUCGCAAGGUUGAAACUCAAAUGAAUUGGCGGGG